This 69-nucleotide transfer RNA is filed under the name Sphaerodactylus townsendi. RNAcentral describes it as "tRNA-Ala". Lineage: Eukaryota; Metazoa; Chordata; Lepidosauria; Squamata; Sphaerodactylidae. The record is from RNAcentral.
GCGGUGGAUGAGUGGUAGAGCAUCUGCUUUGCGUGUGGAAGGUCCCAGGUUCAACCCCCGACAUCUCCA